Molecule: long non-coding RNA, 295 nt
Filed under: Trifolium pratense (red clover)
Lineage: Eukaryota; Viridiplantae; Streptophyta; Magnoliopsida; Fabales; Fabaceae
Description: long non-coding RNA (TPRA_LNC008282)
Source: RNAcentral
UUGGUCCCUUAAAGAUUCACCUUUUGUCAUAUAAGUCCUUUCCGUUAAUUUUUUAAUUCUAAAUGUAUUAGGUGGACCAACAUUGUAGGUAGUCCACCAUAUACCUCAAUACAUUUUUUAAUCUUAACCAUUUGAUUCUUUUGUCAAAAAAAUAACCAUUGGAUUUUGUAUGUCUACCACAUCUAGCAAUACACCAUCAACAAAUAAUUCUUUCUUCCAUUUCUUCAUCUUCUUCCCUCCCCUCCUUGUUCAUCUUCAUCAACAUUGAAACAAACCCAGAAAAAGGAAGAAAAAA